CCUACGGGGGGCAGCAGUGGGGAAUAUUGGACAAUGGGGGGAACCCUGAUCCAGCGACGCCGCGUGAGUGAAGAAGUAUUUCGGUAUGUAAAGCUCUAUCAGCAGGGAAGAAAAUGACGGUACCUGACUACGAAGCCCCGGCUAACUACGUGCCAGCAGCCGCGGUAAUACGUAGGGGGCAAGCGUUAUCCGGAUUUACUGGGUGUAAAGGGAGCGUAGACGGUAUGGCAAGUCUGAGGUGAAAACCCGGGGCUCAACCCCGGGACUGCAUUGGAAACUGCCGAACUAGAGCGUCGGAGAGGCAAGUGGAAUUCCUAGUGUAGCGGUGAAAUGCGUAGAUAUUAGGAGGAACACCAGUGGCGAAGGCGGCUUGCUGGACGAUGACUGACGUUGAGGCUCGAAAGCGUGGGGAGCAAACAGGAUUAGAUACCUUGUAGUC
RNAcentral lists this ribosomal RNA (439 nucleotides) under uncultured bacterium. RNAcentral describes it as "partial 16S ribosomal RNA". It matches the Rfam family "Bacterial small subunit ribosomal RNA", at positions 338 to 795 of the family's 1533-position model. The record is from RNAcentral.